RNAcentral lists this long non-coding RNA (2290 nucleotides) under Macaca fascicularis (crab-eating macaque). RNAcentral describes it as "lncRNA (ENSMFAG00000053992.1)". The record is from RNAcentral. Lineage: Eukaryota; Metazoa; Chordata; Mammalia; Primates; Cercopithecidae.
UCCCCCAGCCCGUGACAACCUCCCUUCCACGUUUCGUCUCUCAGUUUGACCUGCUAGGUACUGAGAUCUCCUAGGUACUGAGACUUCCUCGGUGCUGAGGUCUCCUCAGUGCUGAGACCUCCUAGGUACUGAGGUCUCGUAGGCACUGAGGUCUCCUAGGUCCUGAGACCUCCUCGGUACUGAGGUCGCCUUGGUGCUGGGACCUCCUAGGUCCUGAGCCCUCCUAGGUACUGAGACCUCCUAGGCACUGCGAUCUCCUAGGUACUAAGACCUCGUCGGUACUGAGGUCGCCUCGGUGCUCAGACCUCCUAGGCACUGAGAUCUCCUAGGGUACUGAGACCUCCUCGGUGUUGUGACCUCCUCGGUACUGAGGUCUCCUAGGUCCUGAGACCUCCUCGGUGCUGAGGUCGCCUCGGUGUUGUGACCUCCUAGGUACUGAGGUCUCCUAGGUCCUGAGACCUUCUAGGCACUGAGACCUCGUGGAUACUGAGGUCGCCUCAGUACUGAGACUUUCCAGGUACUGAGGUCUCCUAGGCACUGAGGCCUUCCCCUGUCGGAGGUGGGAAACUACUGGGAGGUAGAGCAGAACCAACACCUUCCCCUGAGGGUGGUGGGCUGAGCCGUGUCUUCCUUUCUAGGGGUCUUCUAUUCAUGCCAUCCAUGAGAGACCCCCGUACUCUUCUGACGCAUUCCCAUGUUGCUGAAGACUCAGUGUCGUCUUUGUUACUGUGACGUUGUGUGUUCGCGGUGUGCUGCAGUAUAUUCUGUUUUUCCAGCGUAUCCAAGGAGACGUGUAGUGCCUAAGAGCUUCUCGUGGGUGCUGUACUGAAACAUUACAACGAGACGGCGUCCCUGCGAGGCUCCCGAGGGAGGGAGCAGGAAGAUCCAGGCGGCAUCUUGAAGGUACAGCGUGUUCACAAAUCUCCCAGGCCACAAGCAAGGAGCCAGCCGGCUCUGAAUUCUCCAGCACAGUCAGGGCGCAAGUCAAAGGCUUCCGAUCAGACCUCAAGAGAUCCCGCAGGAAGUCCUGACGUUCACAGCAAGCAGGGCUCUGUGCGGGCCAACACGCCGCCCAUGGGUGCUCUGGAAAAUCACGUGAAGAUGGUGCAACGGGGAGAGUUAGAGAGCCCUAAAAGCAAGUCUCAGGCCAGAUUCUGCCACGUGCCUCGUUUGCAAACAAGCCCUAAAGAUAUCCCCAAAAGAUAUAGGACGUUAUUUGGAAACAGGAUACUUGCAGAUGUAAUCAAGCUGAGAUGAGGUCAUCCAGGAGUAGGGUAGGCUAUAAAUCCAAUGCGUGGUGUCCUUACCGGAGAAGGGGAAAGACAGAAAACGCACAGAGAGCAGGCCACGUGGAGACAGAGGCAGGGACUGGAGGGAGGCAGCCACACGCCCAGGGACGCCUGGAGCCCCCAAGGAGCUGGGAGAGGCGGGAAGGAGCCUUCCCUAGAGCCUUGAGAGGGAGCACGGCCCUCUGACUUCUGCCCCCAGCACCGUGAGGAUAAAUAUCUUUUAAGCCCUGUUUGCUGGAGCGGCCCCAGAAAAUACACACACCCUUAGAGACCAGACUGGCAACAUUUAGAGUCUGCAUCGGGACCCCCGAAAUCCUCAAUCAGUGUGUGGUCCGAGGACGGCUGGAGAGCCACGUCUGGACCAUCCCUGUGGCCGUGGCCUGAGCGCCCUGCACCUGAGCCCCGGCCUGCCCCGGGUCUGAUGCUUUCCAGCCUGUGCCUGUGGGGGUGGGAGGGGCUGGUGUCUCUCAGACAACCUCCUGAUACUGGUGUAAACCAAACAUAGAAUUCUAAGCCCCUCAGCUGACUGAAUGGACCCCCUUUCUGGCCAAGGGGAUCCCAAAGGAACCUGAAAAGGUAGCUCAGGCUGUGACAGGAAGAGGGAGUCAAACAGGCCUCGUGAUACCAUCCUCCCUUUGGAACUCAGGCACAACUGACCAGCAUUCGUGUGAAAACAGAGAUCGUAACGUGGGCACAACGGACUCGCUGUAGCAAUAAGAUAUCAAAUUCCAACUGGACUCUAGUAUUAUAGAAUGAGACCACCACUUCUCCUGUUGUCCUUCCCAGCUUUUCCCUGUCUCCCCUUUUCCCUACUUUAUAAGACAGGAGAAGGGGGAGAAAGCAAAAAGUUGGAAAGAAACAGAAGAUAGGCCGGGCGCAGUGGCUCAAGCCUGUAAUCCCAGCACUUUGGGAGGCCGAGACGGGUGGAUCACGAGGUCAGGAGAUCGAGACCAUCCUGGCUAACAUGGUGAAACCCCGUCUCACUAAAAAUACAAAAAAUU